RNAcentral lists this unclassified non-coding RNA (359 nucleotides) under uncultured fungus. RNAcentral's name for it is "sequence contains ITS1". The stretch from base 1 to 105 matches the Rfam family "5.8S ribosomal RNA", at positions 50 to 154 of the family's 154-position model. The record is from RNAcentral. Lineage: Eukaryota; Fungi.
AAAAUGCGAUACGUAAUGCGAAUUGCAGAAUUCAGUGAAUCAUCAAAUCUUUGAACGCAUCUGGCGCUUAUGGGUAACCCUGUAAGCACACUUUGUUGAGGGUCACUUCACAACAUCUCGUCUACGUGCUCACUGGGUGCGCAGGACGGAAUCAGAAUGGUUGACUUCAGUCUACCUGACGUGAGGCCGCUUCAACUCCGAUCUAGUUCUCAACUGGUUCGAUGCUGAUAAUUGACUUUAUGUCAUUUCACAUCUUCAUUGAACUUGGAGGGCAUGGACAGGAGACCUGAAGUGUUGAAAACAAGUAGGAAACUCUUUAUUUUGACCUCAACUAAAGUGAGAGAACCCGCCGAAUUUAA